RNAcentral lists this small RNA (675 nucleotides) under Arabidopsis thaliana (thale cress). RNAcentral describes it as "ATSL049170". Lineage: Eukaryota; Viridiplantae; Streptophyta; Magnoliopsida; Brassicales; Brassicaceae. The record is from RNAcentral.
AAUCGCAAUUGCAUGAAUACUUUACUAUUUAGUAUUUAUAUAAAAAUAAUUAUGUGGACCAUCUCCGGAUUUGUUUAUACCGAGGUUGUAACAAUAAUGAUUAAGGGGUUUGGGGAGAAUGGAGUAACUUCUUUAUUAAUGACGAACGGAAAGACAGUAAUUAACAGAACGGAAAACCGUAAGUACAGAACGGAAAACCGAAAGUACAGGUCGGAAAACCGAUAUUAAUGGUCGGAAAACCAGAAAAUACAGAAUGGAAAACCAGAAAGUAAGAGAUAAAGAGCUAGACAGCAAUUCUCUCUUAAAUUCUCUGAGUGGUGAUAGGUUCUGGAUCUCUCUUCUUAGUAGUGUCUCCUCUUAUUUAUAGGCAAGGAGCUGAUCUAGGGUUCUCUUAGUCUCUCUUGCGAUUUCUCUGUUUUGCCCUUCUGAAUUUAUCGGGUUGGACCAAGCCGUGAUGGGCCGAGCAGUCAUUCUGAUGGGCCGUUGUUCUGAUGGCCGUUCUUCCUUGUUAGGAGCUUUCUUGACUUGUUCUAUUUGUGUUUGGGCCGAAUUGGGCAUGGAGGGCAAAGCCCGUAUCCCACAAGAUUCAUGGCUCAAGUCAAGUUUAUGGAUUGUGUUAACAUAUUCGUGGUUCUUAAAAUUUUUCAUGAUUUAGGAUUUGGUAACUUUUUUUAU